GUCGCGAUGGAUUGGACACGACUUCGCAAUUAACAACAACAACAACAACAAGGUUUAUUGAAUGUCCUACUCCAACAUAAUCUAGGUGUCUUCCUAUUAAAAAAAAAGCCAGAACAAUAAAAAAGAAGCAGAAGAUUUAUGAUGGAAAAGAAUCUGAAAUACGCCAAUAAAGAGCAACAGGCAGAGAUAUCAGUCCCUACUCACCAGGGCUUAUUGUGAUUUAUGGAAUGUAGCUGUCAAUAUAAUUAAUAUUCAUUGGCUUCUGAAUAAUUCAAGCUAUGAUGAACGUGGUCGGUGUUCUUUUAACUGUUUACUAAUGUAUGUGGUUCUUAGAAAAAAAUCCAUGAAACAUAUUUUUUCUUUCUAAUAUUUUGCCAGUUUUCCUGGCAAUUCACAACAACUUUAACCCUAUUAAGGCCCCAAAUAUGCUAUCGAUUUCUAUGAAUUUGCUGGUAAUGAUGUGAUUGUGUACUGUGUACUUGUGUACUGUGGAACAGCCUUUCUAUGAAAAUCAGACUGACUCCCUUUUUGCUACUAUUUUGUCAACUACUAAAGAUCAAUCUGUUUCAGAGAGCCUUGCCCUGAUUUUAUUUGAAAUUGUCAUCUUUUUUUAUUUUCUUUCUAUUCUUGCAGUGGACUUAUACUUUUGUUCUUGAAUAAGGAUUUGUUUUAUACAGUUUUUUUCCAUGUGUGCCACUAAGAGUUGUUUUCUCUUGUGGUGGCACAGAAAAUAUGUUUAGUAAGUGAAUGAAUACAUGAUUUUGGUGAUAAUUUUAGAAAAGCCUUGAUGUAUGCCCAAGCCUGAGUGUACAUCACCCACCAACCUACAAUCACAAGUUAUCUAUCCCUGAUGUAAACCAGAUCACUGGCAUUAUCAUCCAUAUCACAAAUAAGAGAAUUAAAGUUUCAAAUAGAGUGAUUCAGCUAUGAAGCUUCCAUAUAGGUAAGAUUCCCUGCAUUGUAUCAAUUGUAUAUUCAGAAUUAGAUCAAAAUUAAAGUUAAUGGCUGGGUAGCAAGAGACUUCAAUGCAAAUACACACCUAAGCAGGGUUGCCCAUUACUACUCUUAUAAGCAAUAACAUUGUCAUUAAGCAUCUUUUGAUCAAAUGAUAAUAUUCAGGACAUCAUAAUUAAAAAUAUAAAGUAUCACCUCUCACUAGUCCACCUAUUCUAUAACUAGCAAAAGUGAGCAACAUCUCAGGAGAUGUUUUUCAAAUGAAUCUGGAGCCAUCUUCAUUCAAAAUAUUGGCUGGUCAACCUGUGAUCAAUACUCUCUCAUAUAAAUGCACACCUAUCUAUCGUGCAGAACAGAAAUUCCUAUGAUUUCCUUCCUAUAUUAAAUAUAGUGAUACCUAUUAGCAUUGUCCAACUCUGAAAUCAGCACAACUAAUAAAUAGUUCUGCAAUUUGAGAGUCCCACUCAGAAAGUGUAAAAUAUUCUAAAAAUAGCAAAAGGAUAUUGAGAUAUAGCUGUCUCAUAAUUCAAAUGUACCUUCUAAGCAAGAGUUAGAAGCACAUUUUGCUUUAGAGCUUGUUCACUUUUGUAAGCCUACAGAGAUUUCAAAAGGUUUCUUUAAUGCAUAUUGUUUAAUAAACUUGUCAUAGUUUUGUUUUCAUAGGGACAGGAUUUUUUGUUAAUUCAUUUGCUUAUUUUACUUAAAUCCAAGUAACAUAAAUAAAGCAACAUUUUCACUGUUCUUUCUAAAAUGAAAGGGUAAAUUUUAGGCACAGUUUUUUAUUUGUUAUGUUGUCAUGCAUUCCAUUAAAUAUAUUUAACAGAUUAAUAUAUUUUCCUACUUGAGUGUUAGCACAAUAAAUACAAUUCAAGAAAAUGACUCAUCACUAAACUUUUUUUCAUGAUAUGGAAUAUAUAAUUUAUUAUCAUUAUCGAGUAAAGUCAGAUCUACUUCAAAAGAGUCUAAUUUUCUUUAAGUAACAGAUGCAUUUACAGGAAAAAUGUGCUAAAUAGUUUUCAUUUAACAUAAAAAAAACAUUUACAAAAAAACAUAGCGUGAGUGUUGUACUUUACAGAUAUAGACUGUAUUAAUAUAGAUUAAAAAAUCCCAAUUAUUCUUAAUAGUAAACAACACAGAUUAAAUCAUUAUUUGGCAUCAAAUUUUGAAUCUGACAUAGCAUUAACUUGGAUGCACACCCUAUAUUUUAACUAAUAACUUUUAAAUUAGCCUAUAGCCAAUUGCUCUUCUGCCUUUAAAAAUAUGUAAGAAAACUGGGCUAUUGCUGAAUAUGACCACUUGGCUGGACAGGAUUUCUCAUGUUUCACCUAUUUUGAGAUAGCUGCAGUGGCUGCCAAUCCAUUUCCAAGGCCAAUGUAAAGUGCUGUUCUUAGUCUUUAAGCAGCAUGGUGUGAUUAUCUCAGGCAAAAUGUUCUCCUAUCCUGAUUGUGUGAAUUUAUGUGAACCAUCCAGGAUCAUGUAUUAGCCUGAUAUACAUUUUUUUAUAAUUAAAAAAAGUAAUUUUUACUGAACUCAGGUGAUUCUACUAGGUAUGCCCAGUGCACUCAUACAUUUCAUGAUUAUUUUAGUAAUCCUAACCUAACCUAAACUUGAGAUUUCAUAUAAGAAUUUUGAAACUGGCUUUGUUUUAAGAGAUCCUGAAAUUAUUUUAAGACAUAUUUAAGACAUAUUGAGACCUUUGCAAAAGUGUUAAUCUCUUCUUCCUGCUUUUGUUAUUUACUUUAUUUAUUAUUCUUGUGUUUGUGUGUUUAUCAAUCAGGAUUUGAUAUGUCAUCAUCUGGUACAAAAUCUGUUCCAUUUGAAUCUGCUGGAGCCUUUCAAACGUGUUUGCUAAAAUAGCAUAGAAAUAACUUUCUUCUCUAAAUAAGUUAUGUACUUAUCUGGUGACCUCUGUAUCUUCCUGUAUAUGACACUUUUCAUUGUAAAAGACAGUAAUCUACUUGGAUAUAUUUAUUAAUACAGACUUCUACCUAGAUUUCCAUAAGGGAUAGGGGGAACAGAAAGAUCAACAAUUUCCUCAACUGAGAACAAGAGGAUAUUGAUAGCCAAAGAUUACCAGUGAAUUCAUGUCAUUGUCUUGAAAGGAACAAUGCUUAAAUUAGAUAAAACUUCAGCCCUCCUCAGGCAUUCUGCAUUAAUGGGCUCUGUCUAAGUCAAAUAUUCCUUAAAUUCAACUCAAAUAACCCCUUCUUCUAUAAACAUGUACAUGUUCAAAAUAAAAACAAAAGACCCUGGUUCACUAAAAAUUUCACUUGUACAAGCAGUUACACUGAAAGUAUAAAUAUCCAUGAGAGAAAGAUAUUAUUUGUAUCACAUUGCCAAUGGAGUUGGUUUACCUGGAACACUAAGUACAGUGGACACAUAAUUGCCAAGCUGGAUGAAAUCUAAUCUAACCUCAUGCAAAGCAGGAAAUCCACAUCAGUGUUACUGAUAGGGGGCCACCCAGAUUCCACUUAAAAGCCUCUAUUGAAGGAAAAUCACAACUAGUCAGACAGCAUUUGAAAACAUACACAUUUAAAUAGCUAUUACUAUCAGGAAUAUCUUCCUAAAUUUAGUCAAAGUCCCUAUUCCUUUAAUUUACUGAAUUACUUCUAAUUGAUGGUACAAGAAAAAACAAAUUUGCAUGCUUAUCACACCUUCAUCAAAUUUAUUAGAUUAACUAUCCUGUCAUAUCUUAAUUAUUGUUUGUCCAAACUUAAGGUACAAACUGUUUCAACCUUUGAAAUCUACUCACAAUAUUUUCCACAACAUUAAGUAUUUUGUAAUUUAAUUCAGCAGCCAUUUAUCUGUUCAAAAUAGUAACCCUUUACAAACCAGACCAUUAAAAGUUAAUUUGAGAGUUGCUUACAAUAAUAUCAAGUUUCUAUGAACAACAAAUACUUGAGCUAUUAUAUUUUUUUAGGCCUAGCAGGGAGACAAUCACAUUUGACUGGCAUCUGCUAUGCUCUGAUGUACAAAAAUAAAGUAAAAUAAUUCACCUUCAAACUGAAUUAUAAAAAAUGUAACUGAAUGGCUUAUUACAAAUAUCCUCAUCUUAGAGAACAUAAGUAUGCUAACAUUUUGAUUAGAGAGUUUCAGCUUUGAGUAAACUAUAUGAUUUUUUAUACACUUUCAUUUCUAGUUCUAAAGCAGGGAUCCCUGACCACCAGGCAAUCAGCACCAGUCCAGGGAUCACCAGGAACUGGGCCGCGCAUGCAAGUGAAGCUCCAUCCAUGCACACAUGGGAUCCAGGCAGCACAUGAAACCAUGCCCCUCGCCAGUAUACAGAAAAACCACCUGGGACCAGUCCUUGGUGCCCAAAACGUUGGGGGCCGCUAUUCUAAAGCAUCUAAAAUUGACCAUUUAUCCUGUAAUACUAAUUAUUAGUAUGAUUAUCAGAAUCAUGGAAAUAGCUUGAAAUACAUUCAUAGUCCAUAGCUAAAUAUUCAUUUAAACAUUAUGUAGCCACACCAAAGAAGAAUCUGGCUGGCAUAUUUAUUAAAACCAAAUGAACAAAUAAAUCAAUCAUAAAAUUGAGAUUUAAAAGUGCUAUAGUGCACACACUCUAAGAUAAAAAAUAUUCCAUUUCAAAUUACUGAGCCAAAAACAAUUAAUGACAAGAAGCAAUGGUCUGGGUUAAUCAACUCCUGUGGGAACAUAAAAAUAUCCUCAUCUUGGAGAACAUCAGUAUGCUAACAUCUUGAUUAAAGAGAUUCAGAUUGAAGGACAUCAGGCUUGAGGCUACCUGGAUCUCUCCAUGGCAUUUCCUCCCCCCCCCAAAAAAACCCCAUGAUUAUUCUUAUGAUUAUUUCAUAAUAAUCAUUGAAGGAUGAAUUCUAAUUUUGUAAUAUAAUUUGAAAAAAGUUAUCUACAAUACCCAAGUACUAUUUAUUAUUUUUAGCAAGCUUUUCUAUUGUUUGUCUGUAACUUGAGAUGCAGAUAUAUACUUAGGGCUGUGCAUGCUUUGAAAAUUAUUCAGAUAUACUUUAAACCUCAUAAAAUAACAGCAUCUCUGCUAUUUAUUAAAGCAAUCCAACAAUUUUUCAGAUAACCUUCUGGGAAAAACUUACUUAAAUGAAUAUAGUCUUUAAAACAGUGGUAUCUUUUUUCAGGCCUGAGUGGAACCAGAAAACCAGCUUCCUUAAUAAAUAAUAGAAAGAUAUCAGAUUUGUGCAAGAACUCAAAUACUUAUUUAAAUUAUUUUUGAAACAGGCAAAGCUCUAGAGUACUUGUUGCAUUUUAUUGGGGGGGGGAGACAGAAGAAUAUUCUAUAUCUAAUGCUCUGAUUAAGCAAGAAAGUGAAAGUAACUAAAUAAAAAUAUUAAAUCUGAAAAUAUUUGGGGAUUAUAUCUGCAGUAUGUUGAGAACAUUGUAAUUAGCAAUGAAGAGCCUUCUCAAAGGCCUUGCAAUCAAAACAAGGUAUGGACGUUAUUUCAACAUGUUUCUUGAGCACAAUACUGAUCUUUACAUCCAUGUAUCCUCAUGUUUGCGUAACACAGCAGCUAACACACAUCAUUUGUUUGAUAUUUGUGCCAUAUGUUCUGGCUUAUUCUGGAUUUA
Molecule: long non-coding RNA, 5511 nt
Organism: Crotalus tigris (Tiger rattlesnake)
Lineage: Eukaryota; Metazoa; Chordata; Lepidosauria; Squamata; Viperidae
Exons: 3
Source: RefSeq, a predicted model, not a curated record